Molecule: non-coding RNA, 405 nt
Organism: Pantherophis guttatus
Lineage: Eukaryota; Metazoa; Chordata; Lepidosauria; Squamata; Colubridae
Source: RefSeq, a predicted model, not a curated record
UUAUCAGUUUUCUCAAGGCCUUCAACAAUGACGGAGCUUCUAAGCUUGUGUCGACUGACCUAAAAUGGCGUCGAGUGAUGAGAGUGAUAGCGGCGAGAUUUCGAAUUCUUUAAAACGAAAGAGAGGAGUGUGGAAAUACACCAAAGACUGGGAAGCUACUUUUGCAUGGAUUACCAACAAUGAAACCGACAGAACAAAUACGACGGCCUACUGUAAAUUGUUUAGUCAGCAUUUUGCCUUCAACGACCAGGGUCCUCAUUUUACCGACCUCGGAAGAAUGGAAGGCUGAGUCCACCUUGACCUGAACACGGAUCAGCCUGGAUAAAUACCUUUUUUUGCCUUGAAUUGGGCAGAAAAGGGAAGAACUAAGCAAUAAAUACAGCACAUAUAGUCCUCAAUUUACAA